GACGAACGCUGGCGGCGUGCUUAACACAUGCAAGUCGAACGGAAAGGCCCUGCUUUUGUGGGGUGCUCGAGUGGCGAACGGGUGAGUAACACGUGAGUAACCUGCCCUUGACUUUGGGAUAACUUCAGGAAACUGGGGCUAAUACCGGAUAUGAUCUCCUGCUGCAUGGUGUGGGUUGGAAAGUUUCGGCGGUUGGGGAUGGACUCGCGGCUUAUCCGCUUGUUGGUGGGGUAGUGGCUUACCAAGGCUUUGACGGGUAGCCGGCCUGAGAGGGGGACCGGCCACAUGGGGACUGAGAGACGGAGCAGAAGCGUACGGGAGGCAGAAGGGGGGAAUAUUGCACAAUGGGCGGAAGCCUGAGGCAGAAACGCCGCGUGCGGGAUGACGGCCUUCGGGGGGUAAACAGAUUUCGAAGGUGACGAAGCGUGAGUGACGGUAAUGGGUAAAGAAGCACCGGCUAACUACGUG
This 468-nucleotide ribosomal RNA is filed under the name uncultured bacterium. RNAcentral describes it as "partial 16S ribosomal RNA". It matches the Rfam family "Bacterial small subunit ribosomal RNA", at positions 28 to 507 of the family's 1533-position model. The record is from RNAcentral.